GGCAGAAGCAGCUUCCAAAAUCGUCCUGGCCUCUGUCCCUGGAUCGGGAAGCUCACUUGGGGCCUUGCCGUAUGUAUUUUCCUUUGUGGGAGAUGCGCCUGAAGCUAGCAGUAACCUUACAACUGCAGCAUGCUCGCCUCUUGCAGCAUGAUGAAGAGGAGUGUCACCUUCCGCAUCAACCGAUUCUAGCAUCCUCUUCACGCACUCUCUGUCAUUAGCACUGUUUAAAAGGAGUUGAACAAUCUCUACAAAACCCCCUGCACAAGCAUCAU
RNAcentral lists this unclassified non-coding RNA (272 nucleotides) under Hevea brasiliensis (rubber tree). Lineage: Eukaryota; Viridiplantae; Streptophyta; Magnoliopsida; Malpighiales; Euphorbiaceae. The record is from RNAcentral.